AUCUAGCUGACGAAUCCCGAAAUAGGACGAAACGCGCAUCCUGGAU
RNAcentral lists this non-coding RNA (46 nucleotides) under Schistosoma margrebowiei. The record is from RNAcentral. Lineage: Eukaryota; Metazoa; Platyhelminthes; Trematoda; Strigeidida; Schistosomatidae.